GCCCGGCUGGCACAAUUGGUCAGCGCGUGAGACUCUUAAUCUCAAGGUUGUGGGUUCGAGUCCCACGUCGGGCU
Lojkania enalia is the source of this 74-nucleotide non-coding RNA. The record is from the annotation of a GenBank genome assembly. NCBI's taxonomy places the organism in Eukaryota, Fungi, Ascomycota, Dothideomycetes, Pleosporales.